RNAcentral lists this ribosomal RNA (245 nucleotides) under uncultured bacterium. RNAcentral's name for it is "partial 16S ribosomal RNA". It matches the Rfam family "Bacterial small subunit ribosomal RNA", at positions 524 to 768 of the family's 1533-position model. The record is from RNAcentral.
UACGAAGGGGGCUAGCGUUGCUCGGAAUCACUGGGCGUAAAGGGUGCGUAGGCGGGUCUUUAAGUCAGGGGUGAAAUCCUGGAGCUCAACUCCAGAACUGCCUUUGAUACUGAGGAUCUUGAGUUCGGGAGAGGUGAGUGGAACUGCGAGUGUAGAGGUGAAAUUCGUAGAUAUUCGCAAGAACACCAGUGGCGAAGGCGGCUCACUGGCCCGAUACUGACGCUGAGACGCGAAAGCGUGGGGAG